GAAAUGCGAUAACUAAUGUGAAUUGCAGAAUUCAGUGAAUCAUCGAGUCUUUGAACGCACAUUGCGCCCCCUGGUAUUCCGGGGGGCAUGCCUGUCCGAGCGUCAUUGCUGCCCUCAAGCACGGCUUGUGUGUUGGGCCUCCGUCCCUUUCGAGGGACGGGCCCGAAAGGCAGCGGCGGCACCGGUCCGGUCCUCGAACGUAUGGGGCUUUGUCACUCGUUUUGUAGGAUUGGCCGGCGCUUGCCGACACCAUCAAUCUUUUUCCAGGUUGACCUCGGAUCAGGUAGGGAUACCCGCUGAACUUAA
Molecule: unclassified non-coding RNA, 306 nt
Filed under: uncultured Penicillium
Lineage: Eukaryota; Fungi; Ascomycota; Eurotiomycetes; Eurotiales; Aspergillaceae
Description: sequence contains ITS1
Rfam family: 5.8S ribosomal RNA (bases 1-105)
Source: RNAcentral